GAAAGUCUGACCGAGCAACGCCGCGUGAGUGAAGAAGGUUUUCGGAUCGUAAAGCUCUGUUGUAAGUCAAGAACGUGUGUGAGAGUGGAAAGUUCACACAGUGACGGUAGCUUACCAGAAAGGGACGGCUAACUACGUGCCAGCAGCCGCGGUAAUACGUAGGUCCCGAGCGUUGUCCGGAUUUAUUGGGCGUAAAGGGAGCGCAGGCGGUCAGGAAAGUCUGGAGUAAAAGGCUAUGGCUCAACCAUAGUGUGCUCUGGAAACUGUCUGACUUGAGUGCAGAAGGGGAGAGUGGAAUUCCAUGUGUAGCGGUGAAAUGCGUAGAUAUAUGGAGGAACACCAGUGGCGAAAGCGGCUCUCUGGUCUGUCACUGACGCUGAGGCUCGAAAGCGUGGGUAGCGAACAGGAUUAGAUACCCUGGUAGUCCACGCCGUGAACGAUGAGUGCUAGGUGUUAGGCCCUUUCCGGGGCUUAUUGCCGGAGCUAACGCAAUAAGCACUCCGCCUGGGGAGUACGACCGCAAGGUUGAAACUCAAAGGAAUUGACGGGGGCCCGCACAAGCGGUGGA
Molecule: ribosomal RNA, 568 nt
Filed under: Streptococcus mutans
Lineage: Bacteria; Bacillati; Bacillota; Bacilli; Lactobacillales; Streptococcaceae
Description: bacterial SSU rRNA
Rfam family: Bacterial small subunit ribosomal RNA
Source: RNAcentral